UACGUAGGGGGCAAGCGUUGUCCGGAUUCAUUGGGCGUAAAGAGCUCGUAGGCGGUUUGGCAAGUCAGGUGUGAAAUCUCCGGGCUCAACUCGGAGAGGCCACCUGAUACUGCUAUGACUUGAGUCCGGUAGGGGACCAUGGAAUUCCUGGUGUAGCGGUGAAAUGCGCAGAUAUCAGGAGGAACACCGGUGGCGAAGGCGGAUCUCUGGGCCUUACCUGACGCUCAGGCACGAAAGCUAGGGGAGCGAACAGG
RNAcentral lists this ribosomal RNA (254 nucleotides) under uncultured bacterium. RNAcentral's name for it is "partial 16S ribosomal RNA". It matches the Rfam family "Bacterial small subunit ribosomal RNA", at positions 524 to 776 of the family's 1533-position model. The record is from RNAcentral.